CCUACGGGAGGCAGCAGUGAGGAAUAUUGGUCAAUGGGCGUAAGCCUGAACCAGCCAAGCAGCGUGCAGGAUGACGGCCCUAUGGGUUGUAAACUGCUUUUAUGCGGGGAUAAAGUGAGGGACGUGUCCCUCAUUGCAGGUACCGCAUGAAUAAGGACCGGCUAAUUCCGUGCCAGCAGCCGCGGUAAUACGGAAGGUCCGGGCGUUAUCCGGAUUUAUUGGGUUUAAAGGGAGCGUAGGCCGUGGAUUAAGCGUGUUGUGAAAUGUAGACGCUCAACGUCUGACUUGCAGCGCGAACUGGUCCACUUGAGUGUGCACAACGAAGGCGGAAUUCGUCGUGUAGCGGUGAAAUGCUUAGAUAUGACGAAGAACCCCGAUUGCGAAGGCAGCUUGCGGGAGCACGACUGACGCUGAAGCUCGAAAGUGCGGGUAUCGAACAGGAUUAGAUACCCUUGUAGUC
Molecule: ribosomal RNA, 460 nt
Filed under: uncultured Prevotella sp.
Lineage: Bacteria; Pseudomonadati; Bacteroidota; Bacteroidia; Bacteroidales; Prevotellaceae
Description: bacterial SSU rRNA
Rfam family: Bacterial small subunit ribosomal RNA
Source: RNAcentral